GUGGGGAAUAUUGGACAAUGGGCGAAAGCCUGAUCCAGCCAUGCCGCGUGUGUGAAGAAGGUCUUCGGAUUGUAAAGCACUUUAAGUUGGGAGGAAGGGCAGUAAGUUAAUACCUUGCUGUUUUGACGUUACCGACAGAAUAAGCACCGGCUAACUUCGUGCCAGCAGCCGCGGUAAUACGAAGGGUGCAAGCGUUAAUCGGAAUUACUGGGCGUAAAGCGCGCGUAGGUGGUUUUGUAAGUUGGAGGUGAAAUCCCCGGGCUCAACCUGGGAACUGCCUCCAAAACUGCAUGACUAGAGUACGGUAGAGGGUAGUGGAAUGUCCUGUGUAGCGGUGAAAUGCGUAGAUAUAGGAAGGAACACCAGUGGCGAAGGCGACUACCUGGACUGAUACUGACACUGAGGUGCGAAAGCGUGGGGAGCAAACAGGAUUAGAAACCCUUGUAGUCC
RNAcentral lists this ribosomal RNA (450 nucleotides) under uncultured bacterium. RNAcentral describes it as "partial 16S ribosomal RNA". It matches the Rfam family "Bacterial small subunit ribosomal RNA", at positions 354 to 796 of the family's 1533-position model. The record is from RNAcentral.